CACGCAGCAGAGUCUCUAUCAUGACUGUUCUCCUGCAGAGAGGGGCUUCAUGGGAAGGAGCUCUCUGCACUGCACAAAUACUAUGACUACAUAGUGCUUUACCACACAGCAGUAAUUUGAUGUUUAACCAUGCCACUGAGGUGACUUUCAAAGUUGACUUUCCAAGGAUGAAAAAUUGGUGCCCAAAUGAUGGGACUUCGGAGAGACCCCAUCCCCACUACAACCACCCAGCAUUCUCUCCAGACUUGCCACCGGUACAGCAUGGAUCCUUUGAGUUCCUUCAACUUCUGAGGACUGCCUCUAGUAACCACUAUUCUACUCUCUACG
Tupaia belangeri chinensis (Chinese tree shrew) is the source of this 327-nucleotide long non-coding RNA. RefSeq lists it as uncharacterized. NCBI's taxonomy places the organism in Eukaryota, Metazoa, Chordata, Mammalia, Scandentia, Tupaiidae. The transcript is spliced from 4 exons. The record is from RefSeq and is a predicted model, not a curated record.